UUUGUUCGUGGCUUUCAUACC
Molecule: non-coding RNA, 21 nt
Filed under: Caenorhabditis elegans
Lineage: Eukaryota; Metazoa; Nematoda; Chromadorea; Rhabditida; Rhabditidae
Source: RNAcentral